RNAcentral lists this ribosomal RNA (164 nucleotides) under uncultured bacterium. Its description in RNAcentral is "partial 16S rRNA". It matches the Rfam family "Bacterial small subunit ribosomal RNA", at positions 355 to 511 of the family's 1533-position model. The record is from RNAcentral.
UAGGGAAUCUUCCACAAUGGGCGCAAGCCUGAUGGAGCAACACCGCGUGAGUGAAGAAGGGUUUCGGCUCGUAAAGCUUUGUUGUUAAAGAAGAACACGUAUGAGAGUAACUGUUCAUACGUUGACGGUAUUUAACCAGAAAGUCACGGCUAACUACGUGCCAG